RNAcentral lists this ribosomal RNA (445 nucleotides) under uncultured bacterium. RNAcentral describes it as "partial 16S ribosomal RNA". It matches the Rfam family "Bacterial small subunit ribosomal RNA", at positions 354 to 796 of the family's 1533-position model. The record is from RNAcentral.
GUAAGGAAUAUUGGACAAUGGACGCAAGUCUGAUCCAGCCAUGCCGCGUGAAGGAUUAAGGUCCUCUGGAUUGUAAACUUCUUUUAUAAGGGACGAAAAAAGGCUUUUCUAAGUCGUCUGACGGUACCUUAUGAAUAAGCACCGGCUAACUCCGUGCCAGCAGCCGCGGUAAUACGGAGGGUGCAAGCGUUAUCCGGAUUCACUGGGUUUAAAGGGUGCGUAGGCGGGCAGGUAAGUCAGUGGUGAAAUCCUAGAGCUUAACUCUAGAACUGCCAUUGAUACUAUCUGUCUUGAAUAUUGUGGAGGUAAGCGGAAUAUGUCAUGUAGCGGUGAAAUGCUUAGAUAUGACAUAGAACACCUAUUGCGAAGGCAGCUUACUACGCAUAUAUUGACGCUGAGUCACGAAAGCGUGGGGAUCAAACAGGAUUAGAAACCCGGGUAGUCC